UUUCCGUAGGUGAACCUGCGGAAGGAUCAUUAACCUUUCAAAAAACAGGGUGCGUCGCGGCCCCCCUCCGGGGGCGGUUUGGGGUCCUCCCCUUCACGCGCGCACGACUGCAUCCUUACUUUACGAGCACCUUCUGUUCUCCCUCGGCGGGGCAACCUGCCGUUGGAACCGAAUAAACCCUUUUUUGCAUCCAGCAUUACCCGUUCCGAAACAAACAAUCGUUACAACUUUCAACAAUGGAUCUCUUGGCUCUGGCAUCGAUGAAGAACGCAGC
This 274-nucleotide unclassified non-coding RNA is filed under the name uncultured fungus. RNAcentral's name for it is "sequence contains ITS1, 5.8S rRNA gene". The stretch from base 226 to 274 matches the Rfam family "5.8S ribosomal RNA", at positions 1 to 49 of the family's 154-position model. The record is from RNAcentral. Lineage: Eukaryota; Fungi.